UGGGGAAUCUUGCGCUAAUGCGGGAAACCGUGACGCAGCGACGCCGCGUGAGGGAAGAAGGCCUUCGGGUUGUAAACCUCUUUCAGGAGGGACGAAGCUACUCGGGUUAAUAGCCCAGAGGGUGACGGUACCUCCAGAAGAAGCCCCGGCUAACUACGUGCCAGCAGCCGCGGUAAUACGUAGGGGGCAAGCGUUGUCCGGAUUUAUUGGGCGUAAAGAGCGUGUAGGCGGCUUUACAGGUCCGUUGUGAAAACUCGGGGCUCAACCUCGAGACGCCGGUGGAAACCGUAAAGCUAGAGUCCGGAAGAGGAGAGUGGAAUUCCUGGUGUAGCGGUGAAAUGCGCAGAUAUCAGGAGGAACACCCGUGGCGAAAGCGGCUCUCUGGGACGGUACUGACGCUGAGACGCGAAAGCGUGGGGAGCAAACAGGAUUAGAUACCCUGGUAGUCCACGCCGUAAACGAUGGGUGCUAGGUGUGGGCGGUGUCGACUCCGUCCGUGCCGUAGCUAACGCAUUAAGCACCCCGCCUGGGGAGUACGGCCGCAAGGCUAA
RNAcentral lists this ribosomal RNA (551 nucleotides) under uncultured Actinomycetes bacterium. Its description in RNAcentral is "bacterial SSU rRNA". It matches the Rfam family "Bacterial small subunit ribosomal RNA", at positions 355 to 897 of the family's 1533-position model. The record is from RNAcentral. Lineage: Bacteria; Bacillati; Actinomycetota; Actinomycetes.